UGGAGGACGGUGUGGGGCGAAAGGCCAGCCAGCAGCAAGUAUAAGAUUAUAAAAAGCGAAGGGGACAGCAGCAGGGGGCGAAAAAAUGUGAUUGUGAGGCUGGCCAAAUACCCAAGAUGAUCCAAGAGGUUCCCACUUCACGAGUCCAUGUCCAGCAGCCUGCUGUUCUUCACAGUAGCUUCACUGAUGUUCCUUACAGAGACUGACUUCCAGCCCCUUAGCACAAGAACAAAACGGGCUCUGGUGGCUGUGAUCUUAAUUCCUUAAGUAAUUCUCGCUGUAUUUUCUGGUGUGAGAGACCACUGGAAGUCAUUUAAAAUUGAAAUAAAGAUAGCAGCUUCAUAAAGUAUGACGAGAAGGUAGGGAAACCAAUGGAUUUUAGUUGGACUUACUAGAAAUGAGACCACUAGAAGAAGGUGGAGGCAUUCAUUAGAGCUUCUCUCAGCACACGGAGGACAACGUGCAGCUGUUAUCAAUGCACACCGCUGUGUACCUCACUUGAUCAGCCCCAGGCAGCAGGAGAUAUCUCCCAGCCACAGGGCACACAGAAUCUCCAACACGCCCAGAGGCUGCAGAUGAAGGUGUUCAGCAGUAGAGAGAAGGGCAGUGUGGAGAGUCCAGCAUAUCACAAUUCAAUGCAAGAGAGAGACAGGGUCAAUUAUUAAACCCUGGGCAGCCUGCAGGGCUUUCAGCACUGGCUAAGGAAAGCUGUUUGAAAAGCUACUUUCUCUCCUGGAGCAUUAAGUGAAAAUGCAUAAUUUGUGGGUUUUUAGGGUAUUUGUCAUUGAGAGCAUUGGGCAAACAUUCACUGCGUGGUGUCCAUAGAGUUUCCAGCCCUUCUGUUGUCAGCUCACUGAUCCUGCAGGAGCUUAACUCCAGCUUGUAUAAAACCAGUGUUAAAAAGACAUAUAUUAACACAGAUAUUACUACUACAGAGGGAGUGAGGAAGGCAGCUGUAUCUCUACUGCUAAAUACUUUUCCUUACUAAACUUUAGAUCAGUUAUGCUUUGAUAUGAAUCCUUAUCCACAGGAGGAAAAUACAGGGUUUAGAAAGACUGUACAUCACCUAAAGUCAGCCUGAAAG
This is a long non-coding RNA of Vidua macroura (Pin-tailed whydah), 1084 nucleotides long. RefSeq lists it as uncharacterized. The transcript has 3 exons. The record is from RefSeq and is a predicted model, not a curated record. Lineage: Eukaryota; Metazoa; Chordata; Aves; Passeriformes; Viduidae.